AGUAGUUUGAUCAUGGCUCAGAACGAACGCUGGCGGCAUGCCUAACACAUGCAAGUCGAACGAGACCUUCGGGUCUAGUGGCGCACGGGUGCGUAACGCGUGGGAAUCUGCCCUUUGCUUCGGAAUAACAGUUAGAAAUGACUGCUAAUACCGGAUGAUGUCUUCGGACCAAAGAUUUAUCGGCAAAGGAUGAGCCCGCGUAGGAUUAGGUAGUUGGUGGGGUAAAGGCCUACCAAGCCGACGAUCCUUAGCUGGUCUGAGAGGAUGAUCAGCCACACUGGGACUGAGACACGGCCCAGACUCCUACGGGAGGCAGCAGUGGGGAAUAUUGGACAAUGGGCGAAAGCCUGAUCCAGCAAUGCCGCGUGAGUGAUGAAGGCCUUCGGGUCGUAAAGCUCUUUACCAGGGAUGAUAAUGACAGUACCUGGAGAAUAAGCUCCGGCUAACUCCGUG
RNAcentral lists this ribosomal RNA (453 nucleotides) under uncultured bacterium. RNAcentral describes it as "bacterial SSU rRNA". It matches the Rfam family "Bacterial small subunit ribosomal RNA", at positions 1 to 507 of the family's 1533-position model. The record is from RNAcentral.